RNAcentral lists this ribosomal RNA (301 nucleotides) under uncultured bacterium. RNAcentral's name for it is "partial 16S ribosomal RNA". It matches the Rfam family "Bacterial small subunit ribosomal RNA", at positions 509 to 807 of the family's 1533-position model. The record is from RNAcentral.
CAGCCGCCACGGUAAUACGUAGGGUGCGAGCGUUAAUCGGAAUUACUGGGCGUAAAGCGUGCGCAGGCGGUUCGUUAAGACAGAUGUGAAAUCCCCGGGCUUAACCUGGGAAUGGCAGUGGAUACUGGCUCGCUAGAGUGUGUCAGAGGAUGGUGGAAUUCCCGGUGUAGCGGUGAAAUGCGUAGAGAUCGGGAGGAACAUCAGUGGCGAAGGCGGCCAUCUGGGACAACACUGACGCUGAGGCACGAAAGCGUGGGGAGCAAACAGGAUUAGAUACCCCCGUAGUCCCUGUCUCUUAUAC